RNAcentral lists this ribosomal RNA (551 nucleotides) under uncultured bacterium. RNAcentral's name for it is "bacterial SSU rRNA". It matches the Rfam family "Bacterial small subunit ribosomal RNA", at positions 1 to 526 of the family's 1533-position model. The record is from RNAcentral.
GCUAUUUAGGUUAGAGUUUGAUCAUGGCUCAGAUUGAACGCUGGCGGCAUGCUUUACACAUGCAAGUCGAGCGGCAGCGCGGGACUCGGGCAACCGAGCCCUGGCGGCGAGCGGCGAACGGGUGAGUAAUGCAUCGGAACGUGUCCCGUAAUGGGGGAUAACGCCGCGAAAGCGGCGCUAAUACCGCAUACGCUCUGAGGAGGAAAGUGGGGGACUUCGCAAGGAGCCUCACGUUAGGGGAGCGGCCGAUGUCCGAUUAGCUAGUUGGUGGGGUAAUGGCUUACCAAGGCUUCGAUCGGUAGCUGGUCUGAGAGGAUGAUCAGCCACACUGGGACUGAGACACGGCCCAGACUCCUACGGGAGGCAGCAGUGGGGAAUUUUGGACAAUGGGGCAACCCUGAUCCAGCCAUGCCGCGUGCGGGAAGAAGGCCUUCGGGUUGUAAACCGCUUUUAGCCGGGAAGAAAAGGCCAUCCCUAACAGGGGUGGUUUUUGACGGUACCGGCGGAAUAAGCACCGGCUAACUACGUGCCAGCAGCCGCGGUAAUCGCCC